CACCACCUCCACCAUCACCACCUCCUCCAUAACCUUCUCCAUCACCACCUCCUCCAUCACUUCCUCCACCAUCACCACCUCUACCUCCACCAUCACCUCCACCAUUCUACCUCUACUUCCAUCACUCCAAACUUCACUACCUCCACCACCACCAACACCACCACUGUCUCCACUAAAUCACCUCCACCACUACCAUCACUACCACCUUCACCUCCACCACCACUACCACCAUCUCUACCACCAACACUGUAGAUAAUGCAACUAACUUUUAUACAGUGCUCGUUGGCUUAAAGGGAACCUUCCUGUAUAUGUUCAAUGUUCUUUCAGGCUUGCCAGAUGAUCGAUAGUGUAGUUUUGAGUUGCUUUUUUUUUUUUGAAUUGCUUUUUGAAGUAAGUCAGAGCAAAGAUGUUUAAGCCUCUUACAUAAGUUUAAAAAAUGACAUAUAUCUCAAGAGUGGAAUUAUCAAGAUCCCUGUCAUGAAACAUCUAGAAACAUGUUAGAUUUUAUUUUUUUCUUUUACUAUGUGUGCGGGAAAGAUUAUGUACCAUUGGAACUAUUUCAGCAGAAACACACAUACAUUCAAAAGCCUUUUCAGUGAUUCUACCGGGCAAGAGAGAAAAGUUAAAUAACAAUGCAGUCAACUUCAGAUUUGUUCUUGUAAUUAUAAUCUCAACUGGUCAUCCCAGAGUGCCAGUGAUGUGGCUACCUAGGGCAAUCAUAGUUGUAAAAUGAAUGGGCCAGGGGAACGGGGUGUCACUACUCCAGAGUAACUGGUACAAAUUAGAUUCUCUGCUGAAUGCGUUGACUCUCGGGACUCGACAUUCAGAUUCAUAGCUUCCUCUGUUCGUGCUUGUCUACAACAGGGGCAACAUUUAAGGCAGGAAAGCAGUGACUAAGAAUAAUAAGGUAUGUCCUGUGUAAUGAGUGCAGGCGUGAGACAUUCCCUGGUAGGUGUGUAUGUGGAGGGCAGAGUGCUGACCCCGAGGGUGUGUGUCAGGAAUGUCUGUUUAUUGUGCUUUUCUCUCUUGCAGUCAAUGCUGAGUUACCAUGGAAAACACUGCCUCGGGGGUAAAUGCAUUUACCUUAGAAAAAUUUAUCUUAAAUGGCCUGGGUUUGGUAGACAUCUUAAUAAAUCAUCCAAUUUGUCUAUUCUGCUUCCCUACAGGUCUACACCUAAGUAAUAGCUGAGAAACUCACACUUUUAAGAUCCUCUUGAUAAGAAGGUCUCAGCGUCUGUUUAGGAUUAUGGCCUUCACACCCCAGUUUCAUGAUUGGCUAUGUUCUGUUAAAACCCUAUUCCUCACGGCCUGUUUUCAUGAGGGACCCAUAUGCACUUCCACGUGGCAGAGAAGGCAGUGGAAUCCCUAUUAGAGAUCCUGUUGGCUCUGGCAGCUCAGCUUUCAAGGCAUAACCUCUUCUACACCAAUGCCCCCAAGUCCUGCUUCUUGGAGGAAGGGAAAAACCAGGGCAGCGGAAAGUCUAUGGAGAGCCAGGAAGGGAUGAUGAACGGGAGCAAGGAGAGUUGUAGAGAACAGAAGGGAGUUAAGGGCAAGGCUGGUUAUUAGAAAGGCUGGGCAGCGCACGUUGGAUGGGUGGCGAUGGGCACCGAUUUUGGCCUUGCUGAAGUCCCAGUUGAUGAGAAGGGAGAGACAAGGGGUAUGAUUGGGGUAGCGAGGGACGGAGGGGAUAAAACAUCAAUGCAUCCAUAGAGAAAUUGUGAUUAUUAGUUCUAAUGAAUCUCCUUAGGAGUCUGUCAUGAUAAAAGAUGCGUUUCAUGUCAAGAAGAGAAAAUGUCUCAGCAGGAGUUCCGUGGGUUUCCCUGAAAUCCUUCCUUUGUUGCCUCCCCCUCUCUUCCCCUUCUUUUCUUAUCCAUGUCCCCUUCCUUCUGUUCGUGAUGGCAAAGCUUGGCUAUGGCGCACCCACCAUCUUGAGUCCUCUCCACUCCAGAUUAUGCCAGCUAAGAAGAAAUCUAUCGUGACUCCUCUAAUUUGAGGGAAUAUUAUGAGCUGGGCCAGCAAGAAGGAAAGCGGGAGGUGAGAGGUGAAAGGCAGAAUAAAAUGUGCAUAGAGAAUAUUUUCUCUUAGCUAACUGCAGGUAUAAGACACUCAGUUUUUAUUCCUCUGGCUUAAUCUCCUUGCCCCCAAUUCCUGAGACUCCUUGCUGUCAAGCUCUCAAGUGACGUGCUAGCUGCGAAGUCCUGCUGAGCUGCUGAGCGUGGCUUGGAGUCUCAUGGCCCGGCCUUGGCCCUGUCCCGGACCACGUCGCCAGCUCUGAGGAGAAAAGGCACAUAGCUGUGCUUACCUGUCAUGGUGUCUUUCCUGGAAGUGUGUUCUCCUUUAGUUCCGUGCAGGAUGGCCCAGAAGGUGGUGCCUUCAGCUCAAGUCCCAGCCAAGCUGUCAAAAAUGUGAUAUGAUAUCUGCGCCUCAAAUUGGCUUUCAUUUUUAACACAUUAAGCUUAAAACUGGAGAUUGUUAAAUUGUUCCAAGUAGACAGAGAUAGAAAUCCAAAAGAGAAGAGGAGUUCAAGGUCACUGAACUUUAAAUCGCCACCAGGAAUAAUCUGAUUUUAUCUUCCCCUUUUACUGUCCUUCUACCCACUUCAGCUUCGGUGUUAAAGCUCCCAGCCUGUUUCUUUGUGAAACUGUAUUAGUCCCCAAAGCUACUGCCCUCCACAUCGGUAGGUUCAAUGGUCCAGAGUGCGUGAGAAAGUAACGUUCUUCUUCACAGGCUCAAAACCGUUUGGUCAUCACCCUAUUUCCACCUGCUGGUCACUCUGUUUCGUCCCGACGCAUCUUCCCCUUAAGUACUGGAAGGUCUCUGAAUGCACAGCACUCUGCAUUUUAUGUUUUUGCCCAUCCUGGAAACAUCUUCAAGACUGUGCUACGGGAGAGACUUCCACGAACAGAUUUCAGAUGCAGGGACGAAGCGGCUUCCACACUGGUCCACAUGAAGUUAGUGUGACACACACUUGGCCCAUAGCUUCUCACUCUGGAAAGUGCUCAGGACACUGGGCUCAGAUCCCCAUGUGACUGUGUUAGGUCUGCGUGCAGCGACGAGCUAGUGCUGUGGGUCAAGGCUGACAACUGCCUUCACCUCGGGUCUCUCUGUGGACAGAGGGCUGAGAUGAGAAGGCUGCCAGGAGUCAGCCCUUCUCCCCCAGUCAAUGUCAGAAUCACAAUUACCGUUGAGCUCUGCCUCGAUUCCUUUUCCAUAAAUCAAGGGCAAAAAUACUCUAUCAGCUUGGAGAGUUUUAAAAACAGUAAUGCCUGGGCCUCGGGCCCUGAGAUUCUGUCUGGAUUGUUCUAAGUUUCUGUUUUCAAAAGCCGCCGGGGUGAUGUGACUUAGGAACGUGGCAGUGAACAGCUGACUUGGGGUUUCUAUGCACAGGCGCCUUGCCCAGGAAGGAUGCAGAAUGCAUUUUCAAGUGUUAAAUCCUCCGAAGCCCUGAACUGUCUGAUCCCACUGGGGAAUGUCAGAUGAGGUGUUCUCAAGGCUGACUUCUACAGGAUCAAAAAUAGGUCCCAACCUCAGAGCAGAGAGCGGCCGCAUACACACACACACACUGAGCCCCAAUCAUACCGAUUACCCACUAACCACCGGCAAUGUGAUUCAAUGUCACACGUCUACACCUCUGAUCAGGCAGCUCCAUGACCUGGCACAGCCCCUUUCCUGCUGCCUCCUGUUGAGUCUUACUUCUCCUGCCCACGUUCGCGCUAGGUAAACAGGAAGCGGGCAGCACAUGCUCAUUAAAUCACUAUUGCUAAAAGAAUCACGCCUGCGAGGUUUAGGGGAUCUUUAGCAUUGCUACUCGGGAUUUCUUCCCCC
Callorhinus ursinus (northern fur seal) is the source of this 3825-nucleotide non-coding RNA. Lineage: Eukaryota; Metazoa; Chordata; Mammalia; Carnivora; Otariidae. The record is from RefSeq and is a predicted model, not a curated record.